Non-coding RNA from Acanthosepion pharaonis, 113 nucleotides. The record is from the annotation of a GenBank genome assembly. NCBI's taxonomy places the organism in Eukaryota, Metazoa, Mollusca, Cephalopoda, Sepiida, Sepiidae.
UUACGGACAUAUCACGUUGAAACAUUGGUUCUCGUCCGAUCACCGAAAUUAAGCAACAUUGAACCUGGUUAGUACCUAGAAGAAUGACCGCUUUGGAAUACAACGUGCUGUAA